RNAcentral lists this ribosomal RNA (250 nucleotides) under uncultured bacterium. RNAcentral's name for it is "partial 16S ribosomal RNA". It matches the Rfam family "Bacterial small subunit ribosomal RNA", at positions 524 to 773 of the family's 1533-position model. The record is from RNAcentral.
UACGGAGGGUGCGAGCGUUGUUCGGAAUUACUGGGCGUAAAGCGCGUGCAGGCGGUCUCUUAAGUCUGGUGUGAAAGCCCGGGGCUCACCCCCGGAAGGGCACUGGAGACUGGGAGGCUAGAGUACCGGAGAGGAAGGUGGAAUUCCUGGUGUAGCGGUGAAAUGCGUAGAUAUCAGGAGGAACACCGGUGGCGAAGGCGGCCUUCUGGACGGCUACUGACGCUGAGACGCGAAAGCGUGGGGAGCAAAC